GCCUGGAUAGCUCAGUCAGUAGAGCAUUAGAGUUCUAAUCUAAGGGCCCAGGGUUCAAGUCUCUGUUCAGGCA
This is a non-coding RNA of Chrysochloris asiatica (Cape golden mole), 73 nucleotides long. Lineage: Eukaryota; Metazoa; Chordata; Mammalia; Afrosoricida; Chrysochloridae. The record is from the annotation of a RefSeq genome assembly.